Molecule: long non-coding RNA, 668 nt
Organism: Coregonus clupeaformis (lake whitefish)
Lineage: Eukaryota; Metazoa; Chordata; Actinopteri; Salmoniformes; Salmonidae
Exons: 2
Source: RefSeq, a predicted model, not a curated record
UGAAGCCCAAAUGACGACAGUGCAGUGCUAUUGAUACAAUGAACAACUUGUUGUCAUUUUUCGUUAGAAUCUUAGCUUGUUAGCUACGCUUGCUAUAGGUACCUAGCUAGCUACUGUAGCCAGCUAACUAAAUUAGCUCUCUGUUCUCGUCCUCGCUUGCAAACAAGCUGCUAAGCUUAGCUAGUUCUCUCUUUGGCUGAGUUUAGCUCACUUGUAGGUUUGUCAGCAGUUAGCAAACAUUGCUUGUUAGCUAGAGGGUGUGGAGAGAGGAGAGGAGGUUAUCUUGUUGCCACGCAACUGUAUGCCCUCCUGUCUUCAACACCUGUGGAAAGGUGACCCCCUGCCUGACCUGUGACAAGUCACAUCAUCAUCAGAGAGUGGCACCAGCAUGGCAGGGCUGGCGUUGGAGUGGAGGGGCUGACGCCAAGCUCUCACCCUCCUGACACAUUGUUUUGAAAGCCCUCGACACUAGAACGAGACAGGGAGGAAAAGCAUUAGAGGGAGAGGGAGAGGGAGACAGAGGAAGGAGAUAGAGGGGGAAGAAGGGAGGAGAGGAGAGAGAUUAAGCCUCAUCAAAAGAAACAGCAGUUCUCUUCACCAUGCCUUACCAUGCCAAUAAAGCUCAUUGAAUGGAAUGGAGUCGACAAAACUCACAUCAGUAUAUUCAA